UCUAAUAAAAAAUAUUUUCAGUUCAAUAAUCUGCAUAUUGUUGUUUUGAAGAACAUAUAUUGUUGAAACUACAAUACACUAUUAUUGAAACAACAGAAUUAUUGUUAUUUCAACAAUAUUUAUUGUUGUUCUCAAAUUGAUUAAAUUCAAAUCAGUGUGUAUUUUUAAAUGUGUAUAGAAUUGAAAUUUUUGUGGAAGAAAACAAAACAAAUAGCAUCGUGUGACCGACACUUCUGCACCAAAAAGCUGCAUUAACUAUGUUUUAUUGGACAACAGGGCGAUUCGUGAAAAUAAUGGUGUUACCAGCAACACCGACCAUCGCCCGCCGGUGGUGUUACCGAAUGAUUUACCACCGCCUCACCGGGUGCUGGAGGGCGACAAACUAGUUGCAGAGUAUGGUAAUGUUCUCAUUUUGUGGAAUUAUUUGAAGAUUCAAUAUAUAUGAUGAAUACAGAACCGUUAUUUACGA
Molecule: long non-coding RNA, 469 nt
Organism: Armigeres subalbatus
Lineage: Eukaryota; Metazoa; Arthropoda; Insecta; Diptera; Culicidae
Exons: 2
Source: RefSeq, a predicted model, not a curated record